RNAcentral lists this ribosomal RNA (379 nucleotides) under uncultured eukaryote. RNAcentral's name for it is "partial 18S ribosomal RNA". It matches the Rfam family "Eukaryotic small subunit ribosomal RNA", at positions 592 to 976 of the family's 1831-position model. The record is from RNAcentral.
CAAUAGCGUAUAUUUAAGUUGUUGCAGUUAAAAAGCUCGUAGUUGGAUUUCGGAUGGGAUUUGCCGGUCCGUCGUUACGAUGUGCACUGGCCAGUCCUAUCUUGUUGUCGGGGACUAGCUCCUGGGCUUCACUGUCCGGGACUAGGAGCUGACGAGGUUACUUUGAGUAAAUUAGAGUGUUCAAAGCAAGCCUACGCUCUGAAUACAUUAGCAUGGAAUAACACGAUAGGACUCUGGCUUAUCUUGUUGGUCUGUGAGACCAGAGUAAUGAUUAAGAGGGACAGUCGGGGGCAUUCGUAUUUCAUUGUCAGAGGUGAAAUUCUUGGAUUUAUGAAAGACGAACUUCUGCGAAAGCAUUUGCCAAGGAUGUUUUCAUUAA